AAAGAGGACUCACGUUUUUGUUCUGUUUCUGAGUGCCUACUAUAAGCCAGCACUGUUACAAACAUGGCGCUCAUUAUUCUCAUUUAUAGAUGUGAAAAACUAGGCCCAGAGAGGUUAAGAAACACAGCGAGUUCACACAGCUGAGCCAGCGUUGAAACCAUGGUUACCUCCCUCGGAAAAUUGACGCUUUCUUUUUCACAAAUCCACAACAGGUGGAGGUGGGGACGGCAGGAAAUGAGGGAUAAAUGGGGCGCCAAUACUCAGAUCUUGCCUGUCAGCUGGCAGGAGGAGUUUCGGAAACCCUUUCGGGGCUGCCCUAAACGAGUUGUUAUCUCUCCACUCUCUGCCUUCUUCGGGCACAAUUCAGGUUACGUGAUGGAAGAUACAGAUGGAGUUUUGCUUUUUAAAGUCCCAGGGAGAGCUGCGAUCACAGAGGGUUUCUCUGGUUCAGAUCCUGGGCGCGGACAUGGCACCACUCAUCAGGCCAUGCUGAGAUGGCAUCCUGCAUGCAAUGACUGGAAGGACCCACAACUAAGGAAGACUAGCACUGAGCUAACAUCUGUACCCAUCUUCCUCCAUCCUGGAUGUGGGUGGCUGCCAUGGCACAGCUGACAAGUGGUGUAGGUCUGCACACAAGAUGCAAACCCAUAACCUGGGUCGCUGAAGUGGAUUGUGCCAAUCCCGACGACUAUGCCAUGGGGCCAGACCCCUGGAUAGUAAUUUUUAAGGUUUACUGCUUUUGUUGUGAUUUUCCUGAGUAUUCAACUCAUUUCCAUAGAAGUAAAAUCUUUUUUGCACUCAUAUUUCAUUGGUUUAGAUAAUAUUUAAGAAAAUUACACAGCUGCAAUAAUUGGCAAACCAGGUUGUGAACAGAUGUGGCUGACAUCUGGUGAAAACAAUAGUGUGUGGGCAGGCCAUCUGUGGAUUUGGUGGCACUGUGGGCUCAGCAUGGGGUGUUAGCAGAUGAAGUGGAGAACAUCACUUAGUCCAAGAAGUGGUUUUCAUACCUUCUACCCUGAGUGGUGGCUAGCCCGUGAGAUACCUUUCUCUGGGUGGUGUAGCACCCUACUGUGCACAAGGCAAGAUGAAUGGGUUCCAGGCAGAAUUUCAGCUUCUACUCCCUCCCUCAGCCAAAAAUCCUUAUGUGGAAUACAACCUGAACAUCCUAUAUGGUGGCCCAGUCUGUUGUAUCUGUAACAUUCAGAUAUUGUACCCAGAUGGAAACGAGUUGACUGAGUAUCCCAAAUCACCAAGUUGCCAACUGCAGCCUGGACCUAAGCCUUCAACACCUAAUUCAGAGUGGACUGGACCACCUAGUCCAGGGGUCUGGACGAGACAUCUUGUCUUGUCUUGGUCACCAGAUAAGAUCCUCUCCAGGCUCGUCCCAGUGUUUAAUAUACCUCCUGUCCAUAAAGCCCGUUUCCUUCUCAGAUCUCCUCUUGGUGCAGUAGUUCUCAAUCCUGGCUGCACAUUUGGGUUGAAAUUUUAAAAAUUCCCAUGCCAGGGUUCCAUGCCCAAACAACUCAACCAGAAUUUCCAUGGAUGGGACCCAGGCUUCAUCCAGGUUAUUGUGAUUGGCAGCCAAGUUUGAGGCCCACUGAACUAGAAGGGUCUGAAUGCACAAUGAACCUCCUGGUUAUGUCUUCUUGUGAAUAGCAUUUAAUUCUUCCAUUUAUGUAUAUCUGCUCAUGCCAACAAAACAACUCAGAAAUUGGAGCCAAGAGUUUACUUUCCCUGCACAUGAGGGAUUCUUAAUUUCUAUUUGUAGCAUGGCAUUUAAUGAGAUUUGAGGAAAAGCUAUUUUCCCAAGAGGAGCUCUGGACAGAGACGUUGGCAUAGCCAAGAGAUGGCAUGGGUGAAUCUGGGAAGUGGAG
This is a long non-coding RNA of Equus asinus (donkey), 1874 nucleotides long. Lineage: Eukaryota; Metazoa; Chordata; Mammalia; Perissodactyla; Equidae. The record is from Ensembl.